GCCGGAGUGGCGGAACUGGCAGACGCAAGGGACUUAAAAUCCCUCGAUGAUUACUCAUCGUACCGGUUCGAUUCCGGUCUCCGGCA
RNAcentral lists this transfer RNA (86 nucleotides) under Candidatus Zixiibacteriota bacterium. RNAcentral describes it as "tRNA-Leu". It matches the Rfam family "tRNA". From Rfam's summary of the family: Transfer RNA (tRNA) molecules are approximately 80 nucleotides in length. The record is from RNAcentral. Lineage: Bacteria; Pseudomonadati; Candidatus Zixiibacteriota.